RNAcentral lists this ribosomal RNA (515 nucleotides) under uncultured bacterium. RNAcentral describes it as "bacterial SSU rRNA". It matches the Rfam family "Bacterial small subunit ribosomal RNA", at positions 210 to 717 of the family's 1533-position model. The record is from RNAcentral.
CCGUCACGCUAUGAGAGGAGCCUGCGUCGGAUUAGCUAGUUGUGGGGUAAGAGCCCACCAAGGCGACGAUCCGUAGCUGGUCUGAGAGGAUGAUCAGCCACACUGGGACUGAGACACGGCCCAGACUCCUACGGGAGGCAGCAGUGGGGAAUAUUGGACAAUGGGCGAAAGCCUGAUCCAGCCAUGCCGCGUGUGUGAAGAAGGCCUUCGGGGUUGUAAAGCACUUUAAGUGGGGAGGAAAAGCGCUGCGUGAAUAUCGUAGUGCCGUGACGUUACCCACAGAAUAAGCACCGGCAAACUCCGUGCCAGCAGCCGCGGUAAUACGGAGGGUGCGAGCGUUAAUCGGAAUUACUGGGCGUAAAGCGCACGUAGGCGGUUCUGUAAGUGGGAUGUGAAACCCCCGGGCUUAACCUGGGACUUGCAUACCAGACUGCAAAGCUAGAGUAUGAGAGAGGGUGGUGGAAUUUCCGGUGUAGCGGUGAAAUGCGUAGAGAUCGGAAGGAACAUCAGUGGCG